RNAcentral lists this long non-coding RNA (211 nucleotides) under Lathyrus oleraceus (garden pea). Its description in RNAcentral is "Pisum sativum (pea) long non-coding RNA (PSAT_LNC009098)". Lineage: Eukaryota; Viridiplantae; Streptophyta; Magnoliopsida; Fabales; Fabaceae. The record is from RNAcentral.
AAUAACAUUACUACCACCUUCUUUUUUCUUCUUUCUACUACAACCUCUUAAACCUUUCUUUUUCACCUAACAAAACCUACAUGCUACAAACUACUCCUUUACCACACUCACAUUAAACUCACAUAACAAUACUCACCUCUCUUAUGUUUUUUCUUUUUCUUUUCUUUCUACACACAACAUUCUUUAACACACAUAAAUCACACUACACCAU